CUCUUAGCGAAUACCAACACUUUUAUUUAGGUGCUUCCAUAGCUGCAACGGAAAAGUUUUUUGUGACGUGUGCGCCAUUGCGGACCGCAUACGGCGCAUAUUUUGACGGGGGUGGGAAGAAGACGAAAGACGUGUUCGGCGCGUACGGGGCCUGUUUCACCUACGAUAGAAGCCAAAAAGCGUACGCGUGCCAAAACUACGGUUUGGAACACACGUUACAGAUGAAAAAAACUAUGGAUGUUUACACAUACGGCAGUUCUGGUUGGAGUGCCAUAAUAGAUCAAGACAAGAACAAUAUAUUGAUAUCGAAGUCUUUCAACACUCCUGAUAUAUCUUACAGCACUUUGAAUCCAAGUCACAAAUACAAAACUUUAUCAUCAAACCCAUCAGUAGCACUUGAAAAAAAUGAUUUUACAAGUUUUGGGAAAGCGAUGACAUUUGGAAAUUAUUUCGACAAGGAUAAAAACAAGACUUGUUACGCUUUUAGUUUGAGAUAUAUGUCUGGAAAA
This is a long non-coding RNA of Cydia strobilella, 509 nucleotides long. RefSeq lists it as uncharacterized. The transcript is spliced from 4 exons. The record is from RefSeq and is a predicted model, not a curated record. Lineage: Eukaryota; Metazoa; Arthropoda; Insecta; Lepidoptera; Tortricidae.